GGGAUAACAUUCUGAAAAGAAUGCUAAUACCGCAUGACAUAUCGGAACCACAUGGUUUUGAUAUCAAAGAUUUUAUCGCUUGAAGAUGGACUCGCGUCCGAUUAGUUAGUUGGUGAGGUAACGGCUCACCAAGACCGCGAUCGGUAGCCGGACUGAGAGGUUGAACGGCCACAUUGGGACUGAGACACGGCCCAGACUCCUACGGGAGGCAGCAGUGGGGGAUAUUGCGCAAUGGGGGCAACCCUGACGCAGCAACGCCGCGUGAAGGAUGAAGGUUUUCGGAUUGUAAACUUCUUUUAUUAAGGACGAAAAAUGACGGUACUUAAUGAAUAAGCUCCGGCUAACUACGUGCCAGCAGCCGCGGUAAUACGUAGGGAGCAAGCGUUGUCCGGAUUUACUGGGUGUAAAGGGUGCGUAGGCGGCUUUGCAAGUCAGAUGUGAAAUCUAUGGGCUCAACCCAUAAACUGCAUUUGAAACUGUAGAGCUUGAGUGAAGUAGAGGCAGGCGGAAUUCCCCGUGUAGCGGUGAAAUGCGUAGAGAUGGGGAGGAACACCAGUGGCGAAGGCGGCCUGCUGGGCUUUAACUGACGCUGAGGCACGAAAGCGUGGGUAGCAAACAGGAUUAGAUACCCUGGUAGUCCACGCUGUAAACGAU
Molecule: ribosomal RNA, 654 nt
Filed under: uncultured bacterium
Lineage: Bacteria
Description: bacterial SSU rRNA
Rfam family: Bacterial small subunit ribosomal RNA
Source: RNAcentral